Molecule: ribosomal RNA, 504 nt
Filed under: uncultured Glomeraceae
Lineage: Eukaryota; Fungi; Glomeromycota; Glomeromycetes; Glomerales; Glomeraceae
Description: SSU rRNA
Rfam family: Eukaryotic small subunit ribosomal RNA
Source: RNAcentral
GCAGCCGCGGUAAUUCCAGCUCCAAUAGCGUAUAUUAAAGUUGUUGCAGUUAAAAAGCUCGUAGUUGAAUUUCGGGAUCAGUACGCUGGUCGUGCCUCCGGUACGUACUGGUGUCACUGAUUCCUCCCUUCUGAAGAACCAUCAUGCCAUUAAUUUGGUGUGGUGGGGAAUCAGGACUGUUACUUUGAAAAAAUUGAGUGUUUAAAGCAGGCUCGCGCUUGAAUACAUUAGCAUGGAAUAAUGAAAUAGGACGUUUAUCCUAUUUUGUUGGUUUCUAGGAUUGACGUAAUGAUUAAUAGGGAUAGUUGGGGGCAUUAGUAUUCAAUUGUCAGAGGUGAAAUUCUUGGAUUUAUUGAAGACUAACUACUGCGAAAGCAUUUGCCAAGGAUGUUUUCAUUAAUCAAGAACGAAAGUUAGGGAUCGAAGACGAUCAGAUACCGUCGUAGUCUUAACCAUAAACUAUGCCGACUAGGGAUCGGAUGAUGUUUAAUUUUUAAUGUACUC